This 253-nucleotide ribosomal RNA is filed under the name uncultured bacterium. Its description in RNAcentral is "partial 16S ribosomal RNA". It matches the Rfam family "Bacterial small subunit ribosomal RNA", at positions 524 to 776 of the family's 1533-position model. The record is from RNAcentral.
UACGAAGGGUGCAAGCGUUACUCGGAAUUACUGGGCGUAAAGCGUGCGUAGGCGGUUUGUUAAGUCUGUCGUGAAAGCCCCGGGCUCAACCUGGGAAUGGCGAUGGAUACUGGCGAGCUAGAGUACGGUAGAGGAGAGUGGAAUUCCCGGUGUAGCAGUGAAAUGCGUAGAGAUCGGGAGGAACAUCAGUUGCGAAGGCGGCUCUCUGGACCAGUACUGACGCUGAGGCACGAAAGCGUGGGGAGCGAACAGG